Molecule: ribosomal RNA, 474 nt
Filed under: uncultured bacterium
Lineage: Bacteria
Description: bacterial SSU rRNA
Rfam family: Bacterial small subunit ribosomal RNA
Source: RNAcentral
AACGAACGCUGGCGGCGUGCCUAACACAUGCAAGUCGAGCGCGAAAGGAGCAAUCCGAGUAGAGCGGCGAACGGGUGCGUAACACGUGACCAACCUGCCCUCGUGUGGGGGAUAGCCGGGCUAACGCCCGGGUAAUACCGCAUACGCUCUUGUGGGGGAGUCCCUGCGGGAGGAAAGCUCCGGCGCACGGGGAGGGGGUCGCGGCCUAUCAGCUAGUUGGGGGGGUAAUGGCCCACCAAGGCGACGACGGGUAGCUGGUCUGAGAGGAUGGCCAGCCACAUUGGGACUGAGAGACGGCCCAGACUCCUACGGGAGGCAGCAGUGGGGAAUCUUGCGCAAUGGCCGAAAGGCUGACGCAGCGACGCCGCGUGUGGGAGGACGCCUUUCGGGGUGUAAACCACUGUUGCCCGGGACGAACAGCCUGUUUCGACAGGUCUGACGGUACCGGGUGAGGAAGCACCGGCUAACUCCGUG